RNAcentral lists this ribosomal RNA (206 nucleotides) under uncultured Peptostreptococcaceae bacterium. Its description in RNAcentral is "partial 16S ribosomal RNA". It matches the Rfam family "Bacterial small subunit ribosomal RNA", at positions 568 to 774 of the family's 1533-position model. Lineage: Bacteria; Bacillati; Bacillota; Clostridia; Peptostreptococcales; Peptostreptococcaceae. The record is from RNAcentral.
UGCGUAGGCGGUCUUUCAAGCCAGAAGUGAAAGGCUAUGGCUCAACCGUAGUAAGCUUUUGGAACUGUAAGACUUGAGUGCAGGAGAGGAGAGUGGAAUUCCUAGUGUAGCGGUGAAAUGCGUAGAUAUUAGGAGGAACACCAGUAGCGAAGGCGGCUCUCUGGACUGUAACUGACGCUGAGGCACGAAAGCGUGGGGAGCAAACA